CGAACGCACAGCGAAAGGUGCUUGCACCUUUCAAGUGAGUGGCGAACG
This 48-nucleotide ribosomal RNA is filed under the name Leuconostoc sp. KJ2. RNAcentral's name for it is "partial 16S ribosomal RNA". The record is from RNAcentral. Lineage: Bacteria; Bacillati; Bacillota; Bacilli; Lactobacillales; Lactobacillaceae.